AGGAAAUUAGGGGAUUAGUAUAUCAGAGUGAGAUUCAAACUCUCCCCACACACAGUUGGGUGGACAAUCUGGAGGUUCUCCUGGACUUCCACUCGAUCAUGAUAGUGGAAGUUCCUCUGCAAAUGAGGCUGCAACAAAUACCUCUACUGGCAAGGGCACUCAUAAAGGUAGAGGUCAGGCAAAAUUAAUAGUCGUUGAUUCACCACUUCCUAUUCAAUUCAAUGAAAGAGGGCAGCCAGUUGGUCCGAAUAGCGAAAAAAUAUCUAGUAGCUGUAGAGUACUAGCAUGAGAGAAUGUACCAAUCUCAUGUCAAGACUAGAAAAAAGCUUCAAAAGAUAAACAACGUCUCCUAUGGGUAGCUAUAAAGAAACUAUUUGAAGUGCCUGAUUGUCAUAGAAAAUCAACUUUUCAAAGCAUGGGAAAGAGUUGGAGUGAUUACAAAUCACGCCUUACCAACGAUAUAAUUGAAGCGGAAGGUGACAUAGAAGUCAUUAACUUAUUGAGACCUGGCAAUAUAAAAUCAAUUGAAGAGUGGCAAUAGUUCGUCAGUGAUCGACUCUCUGAUAACCACAAAGCAAAGAGACAAAAAUUUCAAGACUUGCGAAGUAUGCAAAAGUUACCACACAUAACAAGUCGUAGGGAGUAUGCUCGUCUAGAACAU
Cornus florida is the source of this 661-nucleotide long non-coding RNA. RefSeq lists it as uncharacterized. NCBI's taxonomy places the organism in Eukaryota, Viridiplantae, Streptophyta, Magnoliopsida, Cornales, Cornaceae. The record is from RefSeq and is a predicted model, not a curated record. The transcript is spliced from 3 exons.